GCCUGGGUGGCUCAGUCAGUUGAGUGUCUGACUUUGGCUCAGGUCAUCUCAUGAUUCGUGGGUUCGAGCCCUGCAUUGGGCU
This 82-nucleotide transfer RNA is filed under the name Felis catus (domestic cat). It matches the Rfam family "tRNA". From Rfam's summary of the family: Transfer RNA (tRNA) molecules are approximately 80 nucleotides in length. Their secondary structure includes four short double-helical elements and three loops (D, anti-codon, and T loops). Lineage: Eukaryota; Metazoa; Chordata; Mammalia; Carnivora; Felidae. RNAcentral also lists the same sequence under 3 other names. The record is from Rfam by way of RNAcentral.